AACGAACGCUGGCGGCAUGCCUAACACAUGCAAGUCGAACGAUCCCUUCGGGGUUAGUGGCGCACGGGUGCGUAACGCGUGGGAACCUGCCCUUAGGUUCGGAAUAACUCAGAGAAAUUUGAGCUAAUACCGGAUAAUGUCUUCGGACCAAAGAUUUAUCGCCUUUGGAUGGGCCCGCGUUGGAUUAGCUAGUUGGUGGGGUAAAGGCCUACCAAGGCGACGAUCCAUAGCUGGUCUGAGAGGAUGAUCAGCCACACUGGGGCUGAGACACGGCCCAGACUCCUACGGGAGGCAGCAGUGGGGAAUAUUGGACAAUGGGCGAAAGCCUGAUCCAGCAAUGCCGCGUGAGUGAUGAAGGCCUUAGGGUUGUAAAGCUCUUUUACCCGGGAUGAUAAUGACAGUACCGGGAGAAUAAGCCCCGGCUAACUCCGUG
This 433-nucleotide ribosomal RNA is filed under the name uncultured bacterium. RNAcentral's name for it is "partial 16S ribosomal RNA". It matches the Rfam family "Bacterial small subunit ribosomal RNA", at positions 29 to 507 of the family's 1533-position model. The record is from RNAcentral.